This 284-nucleotide long non-coding RNA is filed under the name Trifolium pratense (red clover). Its description in RNAcentral is "long non-coding RNA (TPRA_LNC011455)". The record is from RNAcentral. Lineage: Eukaryota; Viridiplantae; Streptophyta; Magnoliopsida; Fabales; Fabaceae.
UACACAGUAAGUAACAGAUGUAUGUACCUGUUGUGGCGAUGAGUCAUCACCGUCAUGAGAGACAAAUAAUGUUUUACCAGGCGGUGGUCGAUUGUAGCAAUGUACGGAUCCGAUGAUAAUUACCAAAACCGAAAGUGCCAAACCUGGAAAAUGUGACCCCAUUUUGUUUACAAAAAAUGGGUGAAGAGAUUUAUAUUAAUUUAAUUCCUGUCUGCAAUACUAGAAGAAAAGAAAGAGAUAACGGUUGAAGAAGAAGAAGUUGAAGGAAGAAAGACGAAGGAAAU